UACGUAUGGGGCUAGCGUUGUCCGGAUUUAUUGGGCGUAAAGAGCGUGUAGGCGGCCAGGUAGGUCUGCUGUGAAAACUCGAGGCUCAACCUCGAGACGUCGGCGGAAACCAUCUGGCUAGAGUCCGGAAGAGGAGAGUGGAAUUCCUGGUGUAGCGGUGAAAUGCGCAGAUAUCAGGAAGAACACCCGUGGCGAAGGCGGCUCUCUGGGACGGUACUGACGCUGAGACGCGAAAGCGUGGGGAGCGAACAGG
Molecule: ribosomal RNA, 253 nt
Filed under: uncultured bacterium
Lineage: Bacteria
Description: partial 16S ribosomal RNA
Rfam family: Bacterial small subunit ribosomal RNA
Source: RNAcentral